RNAcentral lists this ribosomal RNA (257 nucleotides) under uncultured bacterium. RNAcentral describes it as "partial 16S ribosomal RNA". It matches the Rfam family "Bacterial small subunit ribosomal RNA", at positions 524 to 777 of the family's 1533-position model. The record is from RNAcentral.
UACGUAGGGUGCAAGCGUUGUCCGGAAUUAUUGGGCGUAAAGAGCUCGUAGGCGGUUUGUUGCGUCGGCUGUGAAAUCCCGAGGCUCAACCUCGGGUCUGCAGUCGAUACGAGCAAACUAGAGUGUUGCAGGGGGAGACUGGAAUUCCUGGUGUAGCGGUGAAAUGCGCAGAUAUCAGGAGGAACACCGGUGGCGAAAGGCGGGGUCUCUGGGGCAACACUGACUGAGGAGCGAAAAGCGUGGGGGAGCGAACAGGG